RNAcentral lists this ribosomal RNA (253 nucleotides) under uncultured bacterium. Its description in RNAcentral is "partial 16S ribosomal RNA". It matches the Rfam family "Bacterial small subunit ribosomal RNA", at positions 524 to 776 of the family's 1533-position model. The record is from RNAcentral.
UACAGAGGGGGCAAGCGUUGUUCGGAAUUACUGGGCGUAAAGGGCUCGUAGGCGGCCAACUAAGUCGGACGUGAAAUCCCUCGGCUUAACCGGGGAACUGCGUCCGAUACUGGAUGGCUUGAGUAUGGGAGAGGGAUGCGGAAUUCCAGGUGUAGCGGUGAAAUGCGUAGAUAUCUGGAGGAACACCGGUGGCGAAGGCGGCAUCCUGGACCAUUACUGACGCUGAGGAGCGAAAGCCAGGGGAGCAAACGGG